AGCAGAUAGUAGUCUUGUCCCUGUUGUUAAUAAUUCUCUCUCAAAUAAGCAUAACAGACGAUUUGCUAGAUCGUAUCUGAGGGCGAACACAUCACGCUGACACAAAUACAGAGGCAGAUAUGGUUGGCCACUUGUUGGGAGAUUAAAGAAACUGGGGGGAACAGAACUGCUGGAAUGAGGAGGAGAAGGGGUGCUGCCACACAGCAUUCCUUCACAAGACGUCAAAGGAAUCCUCUUGUUAGACUUGACUAAAGUAGGCCUAUUGGAUCAAUGGGCUUUCCUUACACGCUGACACAUCAUUCGACAAAUAAUUCAGUGGCUCUUCUCUAAUUGGGACAGGUGGAGACCCUCCGGAUCUUGGGGUUCUUCAGAUGGCAAUGCCACCUUCCCCAAGACACACUGGGGUGGUUUCCAGGUCACAACGUUAAAAAAAGUUUGUAUUUUUGUGCAUUUUGCCCUCCUCAGUCCAUGGGGAUUCAGGGAGUCAAAGUAACUCUUGCAAAGUAAACAGAAGGGUCAUUUUUCAGAGCUGAAACUGUCCAGAGCUGUAGAACUGCAGGUCCUCCGCCCAAAAAAGUGGGGAAAAGGCAGCAGGGUGGCCCUGAAUGUAUCUCACUGAGGGCCCAUUUUAAGCUGACAUCAGAUGCAUCUACACUAUAGGAAUAAUGUGGUUUCACACCACUUUUUUAACUGCCAUGGCUCCAUCCUACAGCAUCCUGGGAUUUGUGGUUUUUGUGAGCCACCAGCACUCUUUGGCAGAGCAGGCUAAAGAUUUUGUGAAACUACAGACCCCAGCAUUCCAUAACAUGGAGGAUGCUACAAAUGAAGAGGUCUCCCGCAAAGAUUUUGUGUCCAUAUUAUGGUGGGCAGCAAAGACGGAGGUAGCAAGGACUUGGGAACAACCAGCAAGGCUUAGCAACCCAGCUUGGCACAAUUUGGACCCGUGCGUGACUGGACAUUGAAAGAGCACCUUGCGAGAGGCAAAGUAGUUGAAGAUACCUUUGACCAGUGGCAGCUGGCAGGUCCCAUGCGAUCAUGCUUGUUCCAUGGAUGAAUUCUUUCCAAGCUCUCUUUCUUAGGGCCAGAUGAAUCCAGUUCCUUGCCCAGAAACCCUCAGCCCCCAAACUGUUGAGAAGUCAACGCAGCGGUCCACUGACAUGUUUUUCAUCACUCGGCUUGCUGGCAAUGCCAACGACGCAUUCUCUGGACGGCGGAAGCAUCCGCGGAAGAUGGCACUGCCAUCUGAGAAGAAGGGAGACCAAAGGAAGAAAUCAAUGGCGACUCUGUUCAAGUCUGGCAUGGUUUGGGCAUGGUUUAAAGAAGGAAGGUGCACCUUUACUCUCAGGGGAAACCUGGGCAUUGUCCUCCAAAGAAAGCACCUUUUCCAUGUGUUUCCCAGAAAUGAUUGAUUGAUUGAUUGAUUGAAUUUAUAUCCCGCUGUUCUCCUAGCCCAGGAUCUAAGACCACACACAAUAUUUUCAAAACACAAUGCAAUAAAAAUAAACUCUCAAUACGAAAAGUGAAAACAUAACUCAGCUACAUUUCUCUUUUUUAAAAACGCACAUUUCCAAAAGAAAAAUUCAAAACAGCAUCAAACGAUGCUUCAAAGCAUAGUAAAAUAAAAGUCGUCAUCCUCUACCAGGUACCCGCACAGGGUGGCACCAAUGUCAGGGGUGCCACUGCUGAACCGGCAAGCCCUAACUCCAAGGAGA
This is a long non-coding RNA of Sceloporus undulatus (fence lizard), 1712 nucleotides long. RefSeq lists it as uncharacterized. The transcript is spliced from 4 exons. Lineage: Eukaryota; Metazoa; Chordata; Lepidosauria; Squamata; Phrynosomatidae. The record is from RefSeq and is a predicted model, not a curated record.